Molecule: ribosomal RNA, 467 nt
Filed under: uncultured bacterium
Lineage: Bacteria
Description: partial 16S ribosomal RNA
Rfam family: Bacterial small subunit ribosomal RNA
Source: RNAcentral
GACGAACGCUGGCGGCGUGCUUAACACAUGCAAGUCGAACGGAAAGGCCUGCUUUUGUGGGGUGCUCGAGUGGCGAACGGGUGAGUAACACGUGAGUAACCUGCCCUUGACUUUGGGAUAACUUCAGGAAACUGGGGCUAAUACCGGAUAGGAGCUCCUGCUGCAUGGUGGGGGUUGGAAAGUUUCGGCGGUUGGGGAUGGACUCGCGGCUUAUCAGCUUGUUGGUGGGGUAGUGGCUUACCAAGGCUUUGACGGGUAGCCGGCCUGAGAGGGUGACCGGCCACAUUGGGACUGAGAUACGGCCCAGACUCCUACGGGAGGCAGCAGUGGGGAAUAUUGCACAAUGGGCGGGAGCCUGAUGCAGCAACGCCGCGUGCGGGAUGACGGCCUUCGGGUUGUAAACCGCUUUCGCCUGUGACGAAGCGUGAGUGACGGUAAUGGGUAAAGAAGCACCGGCUAACUACGUG